CGUGCAGCGCCUCCAUGUGGAUUUGAUACCGACCCUGAUAUCAAUUUCCCCACAUUAAACCCAGCAUAUAUGAGGUUAAAACCAAAGCACUCAUUCCCCACUUACUCUCUGGCUUCCGGGCUCCAGAAUCCAUUAUCCUCCAUGGAGACAGACACCGUCAAGGACAAGCACCUGGAUUAUCUCCUCCCCACAAAGAGAUACAGGCUGGUGGGAAAGCUGCUGACCAGCAAGGUCACGGGCUCCCUCCUCUCUGCAAGUAGUCUCAAGGCCAAAGACAGGCUGGUGGGAAAGCUCCGACCAGCAAGGCCAUAUGCUCCCCCUCCCCUACCUAAAGCCCCAAAUAAAAACCCUUCCUUUUAGCUUUUCGGGGAGUUUGGGAUUUCAGCGUUAGCUGCCCUCUCUUCUUGCUCAGCGCUGUGCAAAAAUAGAAUUCCUACUUUCUUCCACCACCCCCGGUGUCAGAGAUUAGCUUGCUGCGCAACGGGACCGGCCGGAAAUAAUGGGUACCUUGGCAGCCCUCUGGGCUCUGUUUGUUUUGAAGUCGCCGCGACGCCCCGGCCAAAUUUUGAAAAACUUCUUAUUAAAUAACUGGUUACUUACUUAUAUGAUACAGGCCUAACUUAAGGAGCCCACCAGCAUCACUGCCUUAUUUAAAGACUGGUUCAAUGAGAUGAAACAACCUACACCCCAUUUCAGCAGGAAGUAGCUAGAUCGGUCAUCACCCCAAAUCCCUCAAGAUUGAAGGAUGGACAUAAAAGAGGGGGGAGUUGAUACCGAUCCUGAUAUCAAUUUCCCCACAUUAAACCCAGCAUAUAUGAGGUUAAAACCAAAAUACUCAUUCCCCGCUUACUCUCUGGCUUCCGGGCUCCAGAAUCCACUAUCCUCCAUGGAGACAGACAGCGUCAAGGACAAGCACCUGGACUAUCUCCUCCCACAGAGAUACAGGCUGGUGGGAAAGCUGCUGACCAGCAAGGUCACGGGCUUCCUCCUCUCUGCAAGUGUCUCAAGGCCAAAGACAGGCUGGUGGGAAAGCUCCGACCAGCAAGGCCAUAUGCUCCCCCUCCACUACCUAAAGCCCCAAAUAAAAACCCUUCUUUUUAGCUUUUCAGGGAGUUUGGGAUUUCAGCGUUAGCCGCCCUCUCUCCUUGCUCAGCACUGUGCAAAAAUAAAGUUCCUACUUUCUUCCACCA
This 1190-nucleotide long non-coding RNA is filed under the name Equus asinus (donkey). RNAcentral describes it as "lncRNA (ENSEASG00005032534.1)". Lineage: Eukaryota; Metazoa; Chordata; Mammalia; Perissodactyla; Equidae. The record is from RNAcentral.